CCGAGCUAUCCCUCACUCUCUGCUCUCUAUUAUAUGCAUAGUGAAAGGGAUUUAGGAUUUUAGGAGACCGUGAUGAACUUAGCGGGAACUCCAGUAAUACCACCUUCAAUUUCAAUCUUAAAAGCUUUGCAGCUUAAAAGUUGUGUCAUCAAUGGCUUCCAAUCCAUCUGGGGACUCAAACAAGCUCAUGCUCGCCUCUUGCGCCUUGGAUUAUGCCAUGAAAACCAUCUCCUCAAUGCACUUUUGGGUAAUUACUUUCAAUUUGGCAACACCCAAAAUUCUAAACUGUUUUUCGAUCAAAUCAAAGAACCCAAUAUCUCUCUUUUCAAUACCAUGAUUAGAGGUUUAGUUUCAAGUGAUUUAUUUGAAGAAUCUAUCAAAUACUAUCAUUUUAUGCGCAUAGACGGGUUAUUACCCAAUAGUUUCACAUGCCCAUUUGUUCUAAAAGCUUGUGCAAGGAUUUUUGACUAUAAAUUGGGAUUGAAGAUUCACAAUCUUGUUGUGAAACUGGGUUUUAAUGGAGAUGUUUAUGUGAAUACAAGUUUGGUAUGUAUGUAUGCGAAAUGUGGGAGUAUAGGUAAUGCACAGAAGGUGUUUGAUGAUAUGCCUGAGAAAAAUGUAGUAUCUUGGACUGCUAUGAUUAGUGGGUAUCUAAAUGAUGGACAGUUUUAUGAAGGUGUGAGCUUGUUUAUAAGCUUUUUAAAUAAGGGUUUGAAAGCAGAUGGUUUCACUCUUGUUAGGAUUCUUUGUGCUUGUGCAGAGUUGGAGGAGCUCGAGUUUGGUGAGUGGAUUCACAAGUAUAUUAGUUCAAAUGGGAUGGGGAAAAAUGUGGUUUUGAGUACGAAGUUGAUUGACAUGUACGCCAAGUGUGGUUGUAUGGACAAAGCAAAAGGUGUCUUUGAUCAGAUGGUUGAUAAGGAUGUAAUUUCUUGGACUGCUAUGAUUCGAGGGUAUGUGGCAAAUGAUUUUCCAAGAGAAGCAAUAGACUUGUUCUUUAAAAUGGAGGGGGAGAAUGAAAAGCCCGACUCUUGUGCUCUAGGUGGCGUGUUAAGCGCUUGUACAAGGCUUGGAGCAAUGAAUUUGGGAGAGCGAGCCAUCAACUCUAUGAAGAGAGAAGAGUUGGUGGCCGACCCUGUUCUUGGGACUACCCUAAUUGACAUGUAUGUAAAAUGUGGAAAUACUAGCUCGGCAUGGGAAGUUUUUAAAGAGAUAAAGGAGAGAGAUGUUGUAGUUUGGAAUGCUGCAAUAUCUGGCCUAGCCAUAAAUAACCAUGUUCAGAUUGCAUUUGGUCUCUUUGCCCAGAUGGAGAAACUCGGAUUUAAACCAAAUGGCAACACUUUCCUUGGCCUACUUUGUGGUUGUACCCAUGCAGGUCUUGUUGACGAUGGAUGGACAUAUUUUAAAAGCAUGGAGCGUGUUUUUUCUGUGCCUCCCACCAUUGAGCAUUAUGGCUGUAUGGUUGAUCUUCUUAGUCGUUGGGGUUCUUUAAACAAAGCUCAUCAUUUCAUUCAAAGCAUGCCCAUGGAACCAAAUGCUAUUGUUUGGGGAGCAUUGCUUGGUGGGUGCAGAAUACAUCAGAAUACCCAUUUGGCUGAAUAUGUAUUAGAGCAAUUGGUCCAGUUAGAACCUCGGAAUUCAUUUUAUUAUACUCUUUUGUCAAAUAUAUACUCGGCAAACAAUAAGUGGCAUGAUGCAGAAAGAAUAAGGGUAAGAAUGUAUGAGCAAGGGAUCCAAAAGGUACCAGGAUACAGUUGGAUUGAAGUGCAUGGUAUGGUACACGAGUUUGUAGCUGGUGACAAGUUACAUCCUCUGUCUGAUCAGAUACAUGCGAAAUUAGUUGAGUUGCUGAAGGAUUCGCAAGCAGCUGGUUAUGUACCAACUAAAGACUUUGCUUUGUUUGAUGUAGAGGAGGAGGAGAAAGAACAAUCACUUAAGUAUCAUAGCGAGAAGCUGGCUAUUGCAUUUGGUUUAAUUAGUACUCCUUCAAACCAUGUAAUCAGAAUUGUGAAAAACCUUCGUGUCUGUGGUGAUUGUCAUGCGGCAAUCAAGAUUAUUUCUAGGAUUACGGGAAGAAAGAUUGUCCUUAGGGACAUUAGCCGUUUUCAUCACUUUAUUGAUGGAUCAUGCUCAUGCAAUGAUUAUUGGUAAACUUGCAACAAGUUCGGCAAACAUUUUGGUAAGAUUUCAUUGUAAGCAAGGUAACCAGUUUAGAGUGAUUUAUACAAACAUACAUGGAAGCUUGAACAGGUGUAAGAAAUAACGAAAGAAGGUGAUGUUGUGGUCUAGAAGAGAACUUUUUCUGUUGCGAUCAUUUAUAUUGGGAAUCUUGCCACUGUAACUUAAAUUGUUAUAUCAUACUCUUUUUGCUUGGUUUUUUUAAAGUUGGUUGGGGGAUGUUAAUUGCAUGACUGAAUGCACAAUGCUCUUCAGAUGCAUUAGAAGCAGAGCCAUGAACCUCUGCUUCCAUCUCCCUUGCUUCCUCACUUUCCUUCGUCGACUUUGUUUUUUUAAUCGACACUCCAUCUAUCUUCACUGAGGAAUGAGGUUAUGACUUAUGAGGAUGAUAAUGAUGAAGAUGGGAAAAAGCAUAAAGCUGACUUUUGGAUGAGCUUCCUUGAAUCUUAUUUGACCGAGUGACAGGUUCUUCUUUCGAUUGUAUAUCUUUCGAAGCUCCUGGUUUUAACUUAGAAGAUCCCGAAUCUUAUUACCAGGUUGGUCCCAGAGCUAUUGGAGUUGUUUUGUGCAGAAGAAACGGUGCUUGUUCUACAGUGAUCCAGAAAGGUUGGGACUGAUUACGGUCCUCAGCAGUAUGAGUCUAGAACUGGGUCUCAAUCGUUUAUUGAGCAGCGGCUGAAGUAGUCUCGCGCACAUAGAAAGAUCGGUUGUUCUCGGUGUUCCAAUGGUACUAUUUGUGAGGAAGCUUAAAAAUUGACUUCAUGACGAGAUUGAUUACAGCUUAUGUGACCUGAGAUUCUGUGAUCACCUCAGAAGAAAUGAUGUGCAGAAUAGUGAACCUUUAUCACUUUUAAAGAAUUGAUAUGCCAUUGUGCCAAAUUGUAAAUGAGUUUUUAUUUCUAUGUUUGAUGGUUUUGUGACCAUUAUUUGAACUUUGGAGUAUGAUCAUUUCUCAUUUGGGGUUGAAAUUUUCUUCUUUGCAUCUACACUUUUUUUUUGAGACAUCAAGAGCAUCUACAUUUUAAGGGCUGGUCUUUCUAUUCUU
Molecule: RNA transcript, 3220 nt
Organism: Beta vulgaris subsp. vulgaris (sugar beet)
Lineage: Eukaryota; Viridiplantae; Streptophyta; Magnoliopsida; Caryophyllales; Amaranthaceae
Gene name: putative pentatricopeptide repeat-containing protein At3g08820
Exons: 3
Source: RefSeq, a predicted model, not a curated record